UCUUCUUCAUUCGUCUCCUCGUUACCUCGUGGCAGGAUGUGUCUUUCGAGAUUCCGUUUUGCUUGGCGCAGCCCUGCUGCCUCUUGGGUUACCUGAGAUCUCUUUCAUUGUCCCAUGAGAAUGGGAUACUUUGGAUUGAAGUUUUCUCAAAUUCGCUCGCCAAGCUGGCAAAGAAGCUGUGAACUCUUCUGUUCCGAUUACUGUAUCUGAAGCCAACACUGCCUGAAGUACUUCACGCCAGCUGAUCUCGCUCGCUCUCCGAACUUAGCCGAUUGUUCCUGGCCACGUGGUACCCACACCAUCCUGGAGAUCGGUGAUGUCGAUUGCGCUAAGAAUGUAAACGGCUGGGAAUAAAUACUGUCAGCAAGCCUUGCACAAUUGACAACGAGGGCUCCGCCGCCAUGUUUUUCUUCUCUGGGUCGGAUUCUCUUCGCACGUGACCUGGUUUGGAUAAAUACUGUCAGCAAGCCUUGCACAAUUGACAUCGAGGGCUCCCCGCGAUGUUUUUGUCCGCAUCGGAUUCUCUUCGCGCGGGACCGGGUGAGGGUGGUCUUUCAACGUCAACCUGACCUUGCCAAAUGCUUCCAGAUUUUGCUGGUCUCCUGCACUUGGUGACAGUGUCUGGGCGCAUUAUCUCUUCAAGAGGUGUCAAUCUCAUCCUCGGAGUCUCAUUUUCGGCAUUCUUCAUUCAUAUGUGCCCUUUUCUUCCUUUGUUUGGCUUGCCUCCUCAAAUGUUAUGUAUUUUCACAUAUUUCCUGCACGAUAUUGUCGCAGUUACAAACUACCAUUGGAUUCAGUUUAUGGCUCCUGUGAAAACCCAGAAACAAUGACUGAGCAGUUUGUGAA
Long non-coding RNA from Sycon ciliatum, 846 nucleotides. RefSeq lists it as uncharacterized. NCBI's taxonomy places the organism in Eukaryota, Metazoa, Porifera, Calcarea, Leucosolenida, Sycettidae. The record is from RefSeq and is a predicted model, not a curated record. The transcript is spliced from 10 exons.